GCAUUUAGUCAUAUUAGUAGACAAUUGCUUAAAGGUGUCAUGGUAAUAAGAUUUGAUGGAGGAAAGUCACUUUUAAUUUUUUGUCAUUUCUCAUCACAUUCAUUUAUGCUGGACAAUGCCUAGAGGAAAUAAACCAAAUCGAUCAUUGCUCUAUCCUUAGUGGCAGCUAUGCUUGAAAUAUUUGCCUUCAUCACGUCUUUCUCACGCUAUAUGUCACUUCCUACUUCUCCUCUUGCAGUGCUCUACUUUUGCACUUGAAUUCUUGGCCUUGAUCAUGUUCCUUCCCAAGCAGCAUGUAUUGACUCCAUGCUUGACAUCCAUGACAUUCGUUAGGUUUUCUGCUUCUUUGCCCACUUUAUGCUGUUUCAAAAUAAAACUGAGGUAAGAAUUCAUUUAAUUCUUUCUUCUUUUGCCAUUGGUCAUCCAUACAUUAAUCACGAUAUUGCGUGUGACAAGUAUGUUAGAAUUGUAGCGAUAAAUAACACAAAUGUAUUUUUACCAAAAGAUAGCACAAAUAUUUUUUGACUCAACUUCAUCUUACAUUGUCCAUUAUUAGUAAUAAAAAUUCUCCAUAUGAGUGCUAGUAUCUCAUUUUUAUGUUAGUGUCGGUAUUAUACUAACUAUAUAUAACUCCAUAAUUAAGUAAACCUUAUUUUUUCAUCGAUCAAGCUAAACCUAUAUAUAACUCGAUUAAUCCUGUAUUUAUAAAAUUUUACAAAUCAACUGUUCAAACAUGAGAACCAGUCAUCAAUCUAUACACAACAAAGAAAGCAGGGAUUAAGUCACUGGUAUCAACACAUCCAAGUGAUAUUAAACCUUCUACCAAGGACAGUCAAGUCCUCUUCUUGCAACCAAUAAACUUGACUAGAAAUAGCUUCAGGAUUUUGCAGCUGCCAAAAAAGGGCCCUUGAACCCAAUAUUUAUAAAUUCUUUUAUUUAUCCUAGUUCCCAUUAUAUCUAGGUUUAUAAUUUUCUAGGUUUUAUUAAGGCCAUUUAUUCCAUGGGCCAAGCACUAUUUUCACCACUUCAUGACUAGGUCCUCCAAUCAAAGUUUUAAAAAAUCAUGCACUGCUGAUGGAACAUAUAAGGUAUCAUACUUCAAAAGAUUUUUUCCUGCAUAUAUACCUUUACAAGUAUGUACAUGCAGCGAAUUUUGGAGGAUAAAUAUGCGAUAAGUCAUAUUUUAAAUUGUAACAAUAAGUGUGUGGAUGAUAUGUUAUUCAGUAGAUGGUUGAAAAAUGUUAGGCUGGCUCAGCUCAGACAACUUAGGCUUAGGUUCGGUUUGUUAACAGCACUAUUAACAUGAUCGAUAUAAAGGAAACAUUAAAUUGCAACGCGAUCAUAAAAACACAAUAUACAAAUCCUUAAACUUGUGCUAUCCGAUUACCUUCACGAUUUCCGGCGAUCGUAAUCCCCUGGCGACGGCCGUCGUGCUCUCCUAGGGGGUCUUUGGCCUCCCUAGUCUUGCCACUCCCUCCCCCACACUAAUUUGGUCUUGACUUCUAUCCAAAGCCACCACCAGCCUAUAAUUCCCCAUAAUUGCCAACACCAAGGAACUGUGCUAUGUUUGAGGGCAAUAGGGUGACCCAAGGGAUGAUGGGAGGACCUCUGCUUUGACCUUAUGGAUGGAUUUGAACUGUUGGAGAGCCAUGAGCUCCCAACCAUUAGGAAUGGAUCAAACCCUUAAGGGCAAGCCAUGGAAAAAAGUGGAGCUCCAUUGAGGUCAGGUGAUCUAGCUCUUAGGUAUGGAUGGUAUUGGACAUAUAUCCAAGGCAUUGAAGGGACCCCUUCUAAUGACUUUGGGCUUGCCGAUGCCCCAAAAGGGUGAUGUAGUGGCUCUUUUGGCUUCAUAAGGCUUCUAUUGUGG
Molecule: long non-coding RNA, 1867 nt
Filed under: Phoenix dactylifera (date palm)
Lineage: Eukaryota; Viridiplantae; Streptophyta; Magnoliopsida; Arecales; Arecaceae
Description: long non-coding RNA (PDAC_LNC003016)
Source: RNAcentral